CCUACGGGAGGCAGCAGUGAGGAAUAUUGGUCAAUGGCCGGAAGGCUGAACCAGCCAUGCCGCGUGAAGGUCAGUGCCCUAUGGGCGUUAAACUUCUUUUGUGCGGGAGCAAUAAUGGUCACGUGUGGCCAGACGAGAGUACCGUACGAAUAAGCAUCGGCUCACUCCGUGCCAGCAGCCGCGGUUAUACGGGGGAUGCAAGCGUUAUCCGGAUUUAUUGGGGUUAAAGGGUGCGUAGGCUGUGAGGUAAGUCAGCGGUGAAAUGCCCCCGCGCAACGGGGUGAAGUGCCAUUGAUACUGCCUUGCUGGAAUGCGGAUGCCGUGGGAGGAAUGUGUGGUGUAGCGGUGAAAUGCAUAGAUAUCACACAGAACACCGAUUGCGAAGGCAUCUCACGAAUCCGCGAUUGACGCUGAUGCACGAAAGCGUGGGUAUCAAACAGGAUUAGAUACCCCUGUAGUC
RNAcentral lists this ribosomal RNA (460 nucleotides) under uncultured bacterium. RNAcentral describes it as "partial 16S ribosomal RNA". It matches the Rfam family "Bacterial small subunit ribosomal RNA", at positions 338 to 795 of the family's 1533-position model. The record is from RNAcentral.